RNAcentral lists this unclassified non-coding RNA (1062 nucleotides) under Hevea brasiliensis (rubber tree). Lineage: Eukaryota; Viridiplantae; Streptophyta; Magnoliopsida; Malpighiales; Euphorbiaceae. The record is from RNAcentral.
UUAGCACUCGGCUAACCCAGUGGGUACAAUUUCUUUACAUUUUAUUCACUCCCACAUUUUAUUCUUUCCAAUUAAGUGUACAUAGACAUGAGGUUUAGCACAUCUCUGGUUGUGGCAGCCAAAUUGAAGCUCUACUACUUGCAUGUGGCAACAAGGACUUUUCUGGGAGGCAAAGAAGGCCUUCUUCCAUGAAGCAAAGCAUAAUUAUCAAGAAAAAGGACAUCACCUGCUUCCCACUUGAAUUGGAUGCUCUCUUCUUCAAUGAUUUGAUCACAUCUCUUCACAAAUUUUUCUGGUACUUCAGUUCCAUCUGCCAUCAAAGCUGAGCUCAGCUCCUUUCCAUGCAUCCCAACUACCGUGUUGAACCACAUCCUCCUUCCUUUUCUUCCCUCGAACACCCUUGUUAAUGGCCUUGGACCCAGAAUUGUCUUCACACCUCCAUUGGGCAACCACUCCAUAUCCAUCCCUAGAGCCUUUGCCCUUCUCUCAGCCUCAGCACGGUCUGAUGUUCCAAAUGCAUCCUCCCAGCCUCUGCCCCUCAUGGAUGAUGUAUCAUUGUUGCUAAGAGCUGUGAAUGUGUACUUGAGCCCUUUUGCGUCAAUUUCUUCCACUUCUUGAGGGAACUCCUCUAGCAUCCUUUCUGUAACUUUGAAGCUAGGAACAAAGGGUGUCUGUCCUCCCUCUGGUGGUGGGAUCUGACAGAAAAGCACAACCUUCUUGGGAAAUUCUUUUAUCAAAACCAUCUCAUGGUGGUAGUAAAUGAACUCAGACAGUGGUCCUUCAUUAGCAGUCCAUACUCGUUUAUAAAUGUGUGUCCUUGGAGCAGGCCCUACGUAACGAAUAUCAUCCCAGCCGCAGGUUUCAACUAUAUCAUUAAAAUCCUCAGCUUUCUUCACAUCGAAACCUCGAAGCAGAACAGCACUGUUUUUGAUGAUCAUUUCCUCAAACCAGUCCUUGUUCCUCUCGAGAGCCUCCAGAAGUGAGUCUAAGCCAGCUUUGUGAGGUUCUGAAGGUUGCAACACAAGUGGCAUGGUCUCACCAUCCACCACCUUCUGUCCUUGG